RNAcentral lists this long non-coding RNA (3700 nucleotides) under Papio anubis (olive baboon). RNAcentral describes it as "lncRNA (ENSPANG00000037141.1)". Lineage: Eukaryota; Metazoa; Chordata; Mammalia; Primates; Cercopithecidae. The record is from RNAcentral.
AUGGAGGGUUGGGGGUUGGGGAGAGCAUGCAACAAGGAAAUAGCUCUGGAAUCCAGAACAUCUGGCUUCUAUUCAGACCCAAUCACCAACCUUGGGAGCAUAUUGAAAACAUUUGGCUGUCUCAACAGUCUAAAAGAAGCUAUUUAUUUCAGACUCAACAACCAGCCCAACCAUAUGCUUCCAUUUGGAAACAAUUGGAGCUUGGGUCUCAACUUGUCCAUGACACCAGCGGACCUGUUGACUGACCAUGUGCCCCUGAACCAGCUCACGCCUCAGCUAGACAGUUUCAGAGUCUCCUACGAGGUAACCAAUCAAGCUUUCUGGAAGGACUUUUAGUGUCACGAAAGUGUCGCUGGAGUCCACUAUGACUUUCAGCUAAGUGGAAAAAGCAAAAUAAGAAAGUAUUUCUCCAUCUUAAUUUAACUAGAUGCUGGCUCCUCUGGGAGGCCUUUUCUGAAUGUUCCUCUUCCCCUGCAGUGCCCUCCCAGUCUGUGUUAGAUGCCACUCCUAUGUCCUCCGUGGUGCUUUUCACUCUCCUCCAAGGCAGCAUUUAGUGGGUAUUGUAAUUGUGUACACAUUUAUCUACCACUGUUUCUAAUUUGUGAAACAGGUAUUCUCUCUUUUACUGCUAAGUCCAUGGUACCUGCUGUAAUGUCUUUAACAUGAUAAGUAUUCAGUAAUGAAUGAACUAGGUAAAAAAUGUAUCUGUAAAGACAGAGUCAUAAUAGGACAUAGAAAAAUGAAAAGUUCCAUACAAUGCUGAUAUUAAGUGAUUUUGUUUUCUUUUUGUGAUUUGAAAUAUUAUUUAUGUUGUUCCAAAUAAAAAUAAGAUACACUUCUAAAAAAUUUUUUAAAUUAAACUUUUAUUUUAAGUUCAGGGGUACAUGUGCAGAUUUGUUACAUAGGUAAACUUGUGUCAUGGGGGUUUGUUGUACAGAUUAUUUCAUCACCCAGGUAUCAAGCCCAGUACUCAUUAGUUAUUUUUCCUGAUCCCUCCACCCUCUACCCUCUUAUAGGCCCCAGUGUGUUGUUCCCCUCUGUGUGUCCAUGUGGUCAUGUGUUCUCAUCAUUAGCUCCCAUUUAUAAGUGAGAACAUGUGGUAUUUGGUUUUCUGUUCCUGUGUUAGUUUGCUAAGGAUUGUAGCCUCCAGCUCUAUCCAUAUUCCCACAAAAGACAUGAUCUCAUUCUUUUUAUUGGCUGCAAAGUAUUCCAUGGUGUGUAUGUACCACGUCUUCUUUAUCCAGUCUACCAUUGAUGGGCAUUUAGGUUGAUUCCAUGUAUUUGCUGUUGUGAAUAGUGCUUCAGUGAACAUAUGUGUGCAUGUGUCUGUAUUGUAGAAUGAUUUAUAUUCCUCCGAGUAUAUACCCAUUAAUGGGAUUGUUAAGUUGUAUGGUAUUUAUCUUUUUAGAUCUUUGAGGAAUUACCACACCAUCUUCCACAUGGUUGAACUAAUUUACAGUCCCACCAACAGUAUAUAAGCAUUACUUUUCCUCAGCAACCUCACCAGAAUCUGGUUUUUUUUGUUUUUUGUUUUUUGUUUUUACUUUAAUAAUAGCCAUUCUGACUGGCAUGAGAUGGUAUCUCACUGUGGUUUUGAUUUACACUUCUCUAAUGGUCAGUGAUGUGGAUCUUUUUUUCAUAUUAUUGUUGACCAUAUGUAUGGCUUCUUUUGAAAAGUGUCUGAUCGUGUUCUUCGUCUACUGUUUAGUGGGGUUGUUUGCAUUUUUCUUGUAUAUUUGUUUUAAGUUCCUUAAAGAUGAUAGCUAUUAGAUCUUUGUCAGAUGCAUAGUUUGCAAAAAUUUUCUCCCAUUCUGUAGGUUGUCUGUUCACUCUGUUGAUAGUUUCAUUUGCUGUGCAGAAGCUCUUUAAUUUAAUUAGAUCCCAUUUGUCAAUUUUUGCUUUUGUUGCAAUUGCUUUUUGCAUCUUCAUCAUGAAAUCUUUGCCUGUUCCUAGUCCAGAAUGGUAUUGCCUAAGUCAUUUUCCAGGGUUUUUAUAUUUAAGUCUUUAAUCUAUCUUUCGUUAAUUUUUGUAUAUGGUGUAAGGAAAGGGUCUGGUUUCAGUCUUCCACAUAUGACUAGCCAGUUAUCACAGCAUCAUUUAUUGAAUAGGGAGUCCUUUCCCCAUUGCUUCUUUUUGUCAUAUUUGUUGAAGAUGUGCAGCCUUACUUCUGGGCUCUCUAGUCUGUUCCAUUGGUCUAUGUGUCUGUUUUUGUAUUAGUACCAUGCUGUUUUGGUUACUGUAGCCCUGUAGUAUAGUUUGAAGCUGGGUACCAUGAUGCCUCCAGCUUUAUUCUUUUGGCUUGGAAUUGCCUUGGCUAUUGGGCUCUUUUUCGAUUCCAUAUAGAUUUUAAAAUAGUUUUCUCUAGUUCUGUAAAGAAUGUCAUUGGUAGUUUGAUAGGAUUAACAUUGAAUCUAUAAAUUGCUUUGAAUAGUAUAGCCAUUUUAAUGAUAUUGAUUCUUCCUAUCCAUGAGCAUGGAAUGUUUUUCCAUUUGUUUGUGUCCUCUCUGAUUUCUUUGAGCAAGGUUUUGUAGUUCUCCUUACAAAGAUCUUUAACCUCCCUGGUUAGCUGAUUCCUAGGUAUUUUAUUUUAUUUUAUUUUCAUAGCAACUGUGAAUGGGAUUUUGUUCCUGAUUUGGCUCUCAUCUUGACUAUUGUUGGUGUAUAGGAGUACUAGAGAUUUUAGCACAUUGAUUUUGUAUCCUAAGACUUUGCUAAAGUUGUUUACCAGUGUAAGGAGCUUUUGGGCAAAUAACCUGUUCCUGAAUGACUUUGGGUAAAUAAUCAUAUUAAGGCAGAAAUCAAGAAGUUCUUUGAAAUUAAUGAGAACGAAGAAACAACAUACCAGAAUCUCUGGGACACAGCUAAGGCAGUGUUACGAGAAAAGUUUACAGCACUAAAUGUCCACAUAAAAAAGUUAGAAAGAUCUCAAUUUAACCACGUAAUAACACAACUAAAAGAAUGAGAGAACCAAGAUCAAACCAGUCUCAAAGCAAGAAGAAGACAAGAAAUAACCAAAAUCGCAGCUGAACUGAGGAGAUUGAGACACGAAAAACCAUGCAGAAGAUCAAUGAAUCAAGGAGCUAGUUUUUUGAAAAAAAAUAAUAAAAUACAUAGACCACUAACUAGACUAGCAAAAAUUUUUAUAAUGUAAGAAUAACACUGACACCUGGCAACAGAUAUAAAACAAAGCUAAAGAAGAUUAAAUUUUAUAAUUCUUCUCUAGCAAGGGCUCCUUCCAAAGCCCUGGCCCAAAAUUUAUACUAGUAAUUCACUGUUCUUUUUCUUGGAGUGCCCCCCAAAUUAUAGAAGCAUCAGGCUUCUUAAAACCUAGGUCAGGCCGGGCACAGUGGCUCAUGCCUGUGAUCUUGGCACUUUGGGAGGCCAAGGCAGAUCACCUGAGGUCAGGAUUUCAAGACCAGCCUGGCCAACAUAGUGAAACCCUGUCUCUACUAAAAAUACAAAAUUUAGCCAGGUUUGGUGGCACAUGCCUGUAGUCCCGGCUGCUUGGGAGACUGAGGCAGGAAAACCACUUGAACCUGGGAGAUGGAGGUUGCAGUGAGUCGAGAUCACACCACUGCACUCAAGCCUGGGCGACAGACUGAGACUCCAUCUCAAAACAAACAAACAAAACCUAGGUCCACCUCUCCUAAAAUCAAAACCCAAUAAAAAUAGCACAAAAAUAAGAAAACCACAGUAUGAU